CACACCGCCCGUCACGCCAUGAAAGCUGUGAGCGCCCGAAGCCGGUGCCGAAACCCUUUUGGGGCCAAGCCGUCUAAGGCGAGCGCAGUGAUUGGGGCG
RNAcentral lists this ribosomal RNA (99 nucleotides) under uncultured bacterium. RNAcentral's name for it is "partial 16S ribosomal RNA". It matches the Rfam family "Bacterial small subunit ribosomal RNA", at positions 1386 to 1482 of the family's 1533-position model. The record is from RNAcentral.